UUAACAAAAACAUGUCUUUUUGAGUUAUUUUUAAAGUCUGACCUGCCCACUGAGAGUUUUUAAAUGGCCGCAGUAUUCUAACUGUGCAAAGGUAGCAUAAUCAAUAGUCUUUUAAUUGAAGGCUGGUAUGAAUGGUUGGACGAGGUAUAAACUGUUUCAUGUAAAUUUAUAAUAGAAUUUUAUAUUUUAGUUAAAAAGCUAAAAUGUUGUUAAAAGACGAGAAGACCCUAUAAAUCUUUAUAUUUUAUAUAAUAUAAAUUUUUUGGAUUUGUUUUAUUUUUAUUAUAUAAAAUAUUUUGUUGGGGUGAUGUUAAAAUUUGAUAAACUUUUAAUUUUUUUUUGUCAUUAAUUUAUGUAUUAUUGAUCCAUUAGUAGUGAUUAUAAGAUUAAGUUACUUUAGGGAUAACAGCGUAAUUUUUUUGGAGAGUUCAUAUCGAUAAAAAAGUUUGCGACCUCGAUGUUGGAUUAAGAUAUAAUUUUAGGUGUAGCUGCUUAAAUGAUAAGUCUGUUCGACUUUUAAAUUCUUACGUGAUCUGAGUUC
Molecule: ribosomal RNA, 541 nt
Filed under: Dacus axanus
Lineage: Eukaryota; Metazoa; Arthropoda; Insecta; Diptera; Tephritidae
Description: partial 16S ribosomal RNA
Rfam family: Bacterial large subunit ribosomal RNA
Source: RNAcentral